Molecule: ribosomal RNA, 483 nt
Filed under: uncultured bacterium
Lineage: Bacteria
Description: partial 16S ribosomal RNA
Rfam family: Bacterial small subunit ribosomal RNA
Source: RNAcentral
UUGAACGCUGGCGGCAGGCCUAACACAUGCAAGUCGAGCGGAUGAAGGGAGCUUGCUCCUGGAUUCAGCGGCGGACGGGUGAGUAAUGCCUAGGAAUCUGCCUGGUAGUGGGGGAUAACGUCCGGAAACGGGCGCUAAUACCGCAUACGUCCUGAGGGAGAAAGUGGGGGAUCUUCGGACCUCACGCUAUCAGAUGAGCCUAGGUCGGAUUAGCUAGUUGGUGGGGUAAAGGCCUACCAAGGCGACGAUCCGUAACUGGUCUGAGAGGAUGAUCAGUCACACUGGAACUGAGACACGGUCCAGACUCCUACGGGAGGCAGCAGUGGGGAAUAUUGGACAAUGGGCGAAAGCCUGAUCCAGCCAUGCCGCGUGUGUGAAGAAGGUCUUCGGAUUGUAAAGCACUUUAAGUUGGGAGGAAGGGCGGUAAGUUAAUACCUUACUGUUUUGACGUUACCAACAGAAUAAGCACCGGCUAACUUCGUG